Molecule: long non-coding RNA, 333 nt
Filed under: Ictidomys tridecemlineatus (thirteen-lined ground squirrel)
Lineage: Eukaryota; Metazoa; Chordata; Mammalia; Rodentia; Sciuridae
Description: lncRNA (ENSSTOG00000030510.1)
Source: RNAcentral
GCAACCCUGCGGGCUAUUAAUAAUUCAUGGGUCUUUCUUAGUUCACAACAGGGCAUUACUCCGAGGGCAUCGCUCUUAUUGAGAGAAGUUAACUGCGAUGGGCAGAUAAACAACACACAAGUCAAACAAGAAGAAGUCUCCUAUGAAUUUUGAGGACAUUAAAUGUCUGUUAAAGAUCUCCAACUACAAUAGCCAUAAAAAAAUUGCUGGGCAUUCUUCAGGAAUACAUCAAUAAGGAAAAGGAGUAGUUUUUACUCAUUAGCAGAACUGAAGCCAAUUUUGAAGAGGUUAGUCAAUAUUCAUUCUAGACCAAACAAAACCCUGCCAGCUUAA